This 510-nucleotide ribosomal RNA is filed under the name uncultured bacterium. RNAcentral describes it as "partial 16S ribosomal RNA". It matches the Rfam family "Bacterial small subunit ribosomal RNA", at positions 28 to 507 of the family's 1533-position model. The record is from RNAcentral.
GACGAACGCUGGCGGCGUGCUUAACACAUGCAAGUCGAACGAAGAGCGAUGGAAGCUUGCUUCUAUCAAUCUUAGUGGCGAACGGGUGAGUAACGCGUAAUCAACCUGCCCUUCAGAGGGGGACAACAGUUGGAAACGACUGCUAAUACCGCAUACGAUCUAAUCUCGGCAUCGAGGAUAGAUGAAAGGUGGCCUCUACAUGUAAGCUAUCACUGAAGGAGGGGAUUGCGUCUGAUUAGCUAGUUGGAGGGGUAACGGCCCACCAAGGCGAUGAUCAGUAGCCGGGCUGAGAGGAUGAACGGCCACAUUGGGACUGAGACACGGCCCAGACUCCUACGGGAGGCAGCAGUGGGGAAUCUUCCGAAAUGGACGAAAGUCUGACGGAGCAACGCCGCGGGAGUGAUGACGGCCUUCGGGUUGUAAAGCUCUGUUAAUCGGGACGAAAGGCCUUCUUGCGAAUAGUGAGAAGGAUUGACGGUACCGGAAGAGAAGGCCACGGCUAACUACGUG